UGCUUCAAACAUCCCGCCACAGCUCAACCUCCGCGCAGAGGCCACCGAGGACGCAAAGCAGAACCACGAACUCCUGGCGCUGCCUGCGCGGAUGAGGGUUGUCUCCCAAAAUUAGGAACUUCAGAAACGCAGUACCAAGUCUCUUGGUUGUAUGUCCCAGGAAUACCCAAGCAUCCAAUUGCAUAGGCUGCGCGCAUCCAAGGUCUCCAUUUCUCGAUGCUCGGCUUUGUCCUCUUGCCGCCAUCCCUCACCCAUCCCGAGCCCAAUGGUGGAAUCAUGGACUGGACCAGUCUUGCCAUCUUCCCCUCGCUGCUCACAGCGGUCUGGCAGUGCCAUUCUCUGUAAGGCACUCGACUAAAGAGCCAGCGGAAAGGAAAUCCCUCUCUACUUCCACAAACUUGAUGUAGAUGGAUUUGGGGGAGACUCCGGGA
Long non-coding RNA from Eptesicus fuscus (big brown bat), 431 nucleotides. RefSeq lists it as uncharacterized. The transcript has 4 exons. The record is from RefSeq and is a predicted model, not a curated record. Lineage: Eukaryota; Metazoa; Chordata; Mammalia; Chiroptera; Vespertilionidae.